CAGCCGCCGCGGUAAUACGAAGGGUGCAAGCGUUAAUCGGAAUUACUGGGCGUAAAGCGUGCGUAGGCGGUGAGUUAAGUCUGCUGUGAAAUCCCCGGGCUCAACCUGGGAAUGGCAAUGGAUACUGGCAAGCUAGAGUGUGUCAGAGGAUGGUGGAAUUCCCGGUGUAGCGGUGAAAUGCGUAGAGAUCGGGAGGAACAUCAGUGGCGAAGGCGACUAUCUGGGCCAACACUGACACCGAGGCACGAAAGCGUGGGGAGCAAACAGGAUUAGAUACCCCCGUAGUCCCUGUCUCUUAUAC
Molecule: ribosomal RNA, 301 nt
Filed under: uncultured bacterium
Lineage: Bacteria
Description: partial 16S ribosomal RNA
Rfam family: Bacterial small subunit ribosomal RNA
Source: RNAcentral